UACGUAGGGUGCAAGCGUUGUCCGGAAUUAUUGGGCGUAAAGAGCUCGUAGGCGGUCUGUUGCGUCGGCUGUGAAAACCCGGGGCUCAACUCCGGGCCUGCAGCCGAUACGGGCAGACUAGAGUUCGGCAGGGGAGACUGGAAUUCCUGGUGUAGCGGUGAAAUGCGCAGAUACCAGGAGGAACACCGGUGGCGAAGGCGGGUCUCUGGGCCGAUACUGACGCUAAGGAGCGAAAGCGUGGGGAGCGAACAGG
RNAcentral lists this ribosomal RNA (253 nucleotides) under uncultured bacterium. RNAcentral's name for it is "partial 16S ribosomal RNA". It matches the Rfam family "Bacterial small subunit ribosomal RNA", at positions 524 to 776 of the family's 1533-position model. The record is from RNAcentral.